UACGCAGGCGGUCUAUUAAGUCGGAUGUGAAAGCCCGGGGCUCAACCCCGGAAUUGCGUUCGAAACUGGUGGACUUGAGUACGAGAGAGGGAAGCGGAAUUCCUGGUGUAGAGGUGAAAUUCGUAGAUAUCAGGAGGAACACCAGCGGCGAAAGCGGCUUCCUGGCUCGAUACUGACGCUCAUGUACGAAAGCGUGGGGAGCAAACA
This 207-nucleotide ribosomal RNA is filed under the name uncultured bacterium. RNAcentral describes it as "partial 16S ribosomal RNA". It matches the Rfam family "Bacterial small subunit ribosomal RNA", at positions 568 to 774 of the family's 1533-position model. The record is from RNAcentral.